ACGAAUAGGCGUAACGACUUCUCGACUGUCUCAACCACUAGGACCCGGUCGAAAUUAGCACUACGAGUAAAGAUGCUCGUUUCGCGCAGCAGGACGGAAAGACCCCGGGACCUUUACUACAGUUUGAUAUUGGUGUUCGGUUCGGCUUGUGUAGGAUAGCUGGGAGACUGUGAAGCGCUAACGCCAGUUAGUGUGGAGUCGUCGUUGAAAUACCAGUCUGGUCGUGCUGGAUGUCUAACCUGGGUCCGUGAUCCGGAUCAGGGACAGUGUCUGAUGGGUAGUUUAACUGGGGCGGUUGC
This 299-nucleotide non-coding RNA is filed under the name Streptomyces afghaniensis 772. RNAcentral's name for it is "Bacterial large subunit ribosomal RNA". It matches the Rfam family "Bacterial large subunit ribosomal RNA", at positions 1992 to 2286 of the family's 2925-position model. The record is from Rfam by way of RNAcentral. Lineage: Bacteria; Bacillati; Actinomycetota; Actinomycetes; Kitasatosporales; Streptomycetaceae.